Molecule: non-coding RNA, 30 nt
Filed under: Homo sapiens (human)
Lineage: Eukaryota; Metazoa; Chordata; Mammalia; Primates; Hominidae
Source: RNAcentral
UCUCAAAGGCUGGAGUUGAGAGAUUGUGUC